UCUGCAUAUAUACAUGCAUAUAAUUGUGCACUAGAAAUCUUAUACACUAGAAAAAUCUUAUACAGUAUGCAUCUCAUAUAUUGUUGAUAUAGUAUAAUAUCAUAAACUGAACCAUCUCAGUCGAAGAUUCAAUUAAUUAUUUAUUCAGAAAAACUCUUGAGUUCUAGGGCAAUUACAAAUCAGUCCCUAAUCUCAAAGCAACCUUCAAUAUUAGAGACUCUGAGGGACUCAAGUGCAAAAGUACCUAAUUAUAUCAGACUUUAUCUAAAUAAAAAAAAUUAGUGAAACCCUACAAUACUCCAACGAUCAAGCACUGCAUAGGAGUCAAAGCUAGGAGCAGCCAUCUAGCCCAAGUAGGUGAGUCACUUAGCUUUCACUAAAAAUUCCCACAUAUAUUAACUCAGCUAUCUGUGAACCAGCCUCGGUUUGGUCGUGCAGAUCAGCAUAGGCAGCAAGCAGUGGCAGUAGUAGUACCAACAGCAAGAGCACAGCCAUGUCGCAGCAGCCUCAGCCGCAACAGCAGUAGCAGCAAGCAGUUCGUAUGCAAAACCACCUCAAAAGAGAGAAAUAGCAGAGCAGUAGCUAGUAAUCCGGCACCACAGUUACACCAAAUCUCAAUAGCAGCAGCCAUAGAAAAACAACCAGGGUGAGAGAGUAGAAGGAAAAGAAAGGGGAUGCAUGUGUUUCAAGUAGAGCAAGGGGUUUCAAUUUAAAGAGGAGAAACAAGUAGCAGAUCCAGAAGGGCAGCAGUAAACAAGAGGAGGAGCAACACCCUGACCAAUUUCAGAAGAAGCUGUAGAACCAGAGGAGAGUCACACGGUCAUUAGUCUUCCACAGCCACAGUAGGACCAUCAAAUAAGGUAAUCUGGAAAAAGAAUUAGAAUAAGAGGGAAAUCACAUCAUGGCAUGAUUCUUGGUUGAUGCAUAUAAUAGUAUGUUUAGGAGUUGUGUGCAUGCACUUAGUCAUAUCCAUUAAACCUGAAAAAUGAACCUAAGGAGAUGGCAGCUAUGUUGAUCUGUGCAUAUACUAGUAUGUGUAGGCCUUGGGUGUUGCAUUUGCAUCCAUUAGAAGCUGAACCAGAACAUAUCAGAUUCAGUAAAAUAUUCAUAUUAAUUGUUUGAUCUUCAGAACAGUUUGUGUAACUAAAAUUUUACUAUAGAUAAACAGGUGCUCAGGUGAUAAAUCAAGAAACAGUAGAAUGUAUAUAAACAUAUCAUCAGUCUUAUACCUUUAUCAAAUUUAGUAACUGCAGAUGUUUAUCCAUAGUACAAAUAUUGAUAUUCUUGACAUAUAGAUAAAAUCAGAUUUUAGAUUUAGCCAUGGACUUGGAAAUUAGUAUCUGGACCCUAGCACAGAUUUAAUUUAUCAUGAAGCAUAAGGACUAUAACAACUCUGUCAAUUAGGCUAGUUCAAUUGUAGAUAAAUCAUCAUUCAAUUAGUAAACAGUAGUAUAUAUUUUAGAUUGUAUAGAAUCACCAUAUAAUUGGAUUUUGGGUGAAACAUUCAUUUAGUAUAUAAUACCAAGUUCAGGAAGCACUGGUAUUUCAGAUUAAAAUAUAGAAGAUCAUGUAGCAGCAGGUUUUAGUAAAAAGAAUAGAACUGAGGAAUUAAGGAUACCGAACAGAAAACCAUAGGUUCUUACAGAAAAUAAUCUAGAGAAGAGGUUAGAGCAUAGCAUCUGAAUCAAGUGGAUAUGUAUAUAAUUAGUUGACCAAUAGUUUAAUCCAUGUCCUCAUCAACCACUGUAAUUAAAUAAUUUAUAAAUUUGGUUAUUAAUCACACAAGUAUAUAGAGAUGAAAAUCUGGACAGUAGUAAUAUCAAGGAUAAACAAUGCAUGAGUUUACUAAUUCUAUGGGAUUUAUAUGUGUAAUAUGUGCAUAUGUAUAUCUUCAUUUUUUUUCAGUUUAAGUGCAAAAUUAGUAGUGGCUUAUGAAUUAUCAGGAAGCAGUAAUAUCCAUAGGGACUUGAUCAUGUUAGUGUUUUAACAAUUUCAGUGUUUCAGUUAAUUCUACAUGCAAGCAUACUUAUAAGGACAAAAUCAUGUUAGUGUGCUUUUAAUUUCAGUCCUGCAUUUUUAGAAGAUAUAUUCAUGUGAGCAUUCAUCUAUCAUGGGCAUACAGGCAUCAUCCAAUCUAGCAAAUGAAUUGAUCUAGAACCCUAGAACUAGUAAUUACAAUCCAUAGCAUAGAGUCAUCAAGUUGAUCAUUAGGAUUAGUCUCCAAGUAUCAUCAGUGUAUCACAACCAUAAUAAAUCAUAAGGGAAAGAACACCUUACUAGUACAACACACUAGAGAUCAGGAAAAAGGAGAUAGAAGAGAGGAAUCGAAGUGGUAGCAGCGGUAGGGGCCUGGGAACUUCCCCUGAAUCCUUACCUCGCCGGAGUUUUGCCGGCGGCUGCAUCUAGGAUUGAGGAGGUUGGAAGUUAGGUUUAGCUUAGGGGCAGAGAAGCAUGGAGCCAAGAAACCGAUUCGCGGCUGCGGGACAUCUGCUUGAGGGGUCGUCGGAGUGGGGCGUGGUAGCCGGCGCUAGGGAGAGCGGCGGCGUCGCCGGCGCUACCUAGGAAGCGGCGGCACUGGGAGAGGAAUUUUUUUCAUUUUUAGAUUUUUUUUUAAAAUAUUUAUAGAAAU
RNAcentral lists this long non-coding RNA (2629 nucleotides) under Oryza sativa (Asian cultivated rice). RNAcentral's name for it is "long non-coding RNA (OSAT_LNC001984)". The record is from RNAcentral. Lineage: Eukaryota; Viridiplantae; Streptophyta; Magnoliopsida; Poales; Poaceae.